This 390-nucleotide ribosomal RNA is filed under the name Eukaryota sp. RNAcentral's name for it is "SSU rRNA". It matches the Rfam family "Eukaryotic small subunit ribosomal RNA", at positions 829 to 1218 of the family's 1831-position model. The record is from RNAcentral.
CUGCGGUCUUAUUUUGUUGGUUUGGAGACCAAGGUAAUGAUUAAUAGGGACAGUUGGGGGCAUUAGUAUUUCGGAGCUAGAGGUGAAAUUCUUUGAUUUCCGAAAGACUGACUAGUGCGAAAGCAUUUGCCAAGGAUGUUUUCAUUAAUCAAGAACGAAAGUUAGGGGAUCGAAGACGAUCAGAUACCGUCGUAGUCUUAACCGUAAACUAUGCCGACUAGGGCUUGGUGGGGCUCAGAAACAUGACUCCAUCAGGACCUUGAGAGAAAUCAAAGUUUUUGGGUUCUGGGGGGAGUAUGGUCGCAAGGCUGAAACUUAAAGGAAUUGACGGAAGGGCACCACCAGGAGUGGAGCCUGCGGCUUAAUUUGACUCAACACGGGGAAACUCAC